RNAcentral lists this ribosomal RNA (686 nucleotides) under Salmonella enterica subsp. enterica serovar Muenchen. RNAcentral's name for it is "bacterial LSU rRNA". It matches the Rfam family "Bacterial large subunit ribosomal RNA", at positions 1 to 720 of the family's 2925-position model. The record is from RNAcentral. Lineage: Bacteria; Pseudomonadati; Pseudomonadota; Gammaproteobacteria; Enterobacterales; Enterobacteriaceae.
GGGUUGUGAGGUUAAGCGACUAAGCGUACACGGUGGAUGCCCUGGCAGUCAGAGGCGAUGAAGGGCGUGCUAAUCUGCGAUAAGCGCCGGUAAGGUGAUAUGAACCGUUAUAACCGGCGAUACCCGAAUGGGGAAACCCAGUGUGAUUCGUCACACUAUCAUUAACUGAAUCCAUAGGUUAAUGAGGCGAACCGGGGGAACUGAAACAUCUAAGUACCCCGAGGAAAAGAAAUCAACCGAGAUUCCCCCAGUAGCGGCGAGCGAACGGGGAGGAGCCCAGAGCCUGAAUCAGCAUGUGUGUUAGUGGAAGCGUCUGGAAAGGCGCGCGAUACAGGGUGACAGCCCCGUACACAAAAGCGCAUGUGCUGUGAGCUCGAUGAGUAGGGCGGGACACGUGGUAUCCUGUCUGAAUAUGGGGGGACCAUCCUCCAAGGCUAAAUACUCCUGACUGACCGAUAGUGAACCAGUACCGUGAGGGAAAGGCGAAAAGAACCCCGGCGAGGGGAGUGAAAAAGAACCUGAAACCGUGUACGUACAAGCAGUGGGAGCACCCUUCGGGGUGUGACUGCGUACCUUUUGUAUAAUGGGUCAGCGACUUAUAUUCUGUAGCAAGGUUAACCGAAUAGGGGAGCCGGAGGGAAACCGAGUCUUAAUUGGGCGUUAAGUUGCAGGGUAUAGACCCGAAA